AUUCCACUUGCUUUUGUUUUUUAAGCUAGUUUAUGUUAUUUAUUUUACGUAUACAGGUGCUCUGCUUGAAUGUAUACCUUUAUGCCAGAAGAGGUCAUCAGAUCCCACUGCAGAUGGUUGUGAGUCACCAUGUGGUUGCUGGGAAUUGAACCCAGGACCUGUGGAAGAGCUGCCAGGGCUCCUAACCUCUGAGCCAUCCCCCCAGGACCAGGUCCCACUUGUUUUACAGAAAAAGAACAGAAUAUGGAUAUACAUAUAUAGAAAGAAGGAAAUCCUUUCUAAAAAUUGCCUGGGAAGGCAAGUGUGGUGGUAUGCACCAUAGCAUCCUGGCAGUCGAAGAACUGAAGAGGGAUCAUGUGAAAGACCCCUGCCCCUUAGCCCUUUCUUUCUCAAGUUUGUCUCCUCUUCCUCCUGUCGGCGGCUUCCCCG
This 429-nucleotide long non-coding RNA is filed under the name Cricetulus griseus (Chinese hamster). RNAcentral's name for it is "lncRNA (ENSCGRG00000025784.1)". Lineage: Eukaryota; Metazoa; Chordata; Mammalia; Rodentia; Cricetidae. The record is from RNAcentral.